UACGUAGGCAGCGAGCGUUGUUCGGAGUUACUGGGCGUAAAGCGUGCGUAGGCGGUGUCUUAAGUUUGUUGUGAAAUCUCCCGGCUUAACCGGGAGGGUGCGGCGAAUACUGAGAUGCUGGAGUGCCGGAGAGGUAAGCGGAAUUCCUGGUGUAGCGGUGAAAUGCGUAGAUAUCAAGAGGAACACCUGCGGCGAAGGCGGGUUGCUGGGCCGACACUGACGCUGAGGCGCGAAAGCCAGGGGAGCGAACGGG
This 253-nucleotide ribosomal RNA is filed under the name uncultured bacterium. RNAcentral's name for it is "partial 16S ribosomal RNA". It matches the Rfam family "Bacterial small subunit ribosomal RNA", at positions 524 to 776 of the family's 1533-position model. The record is from RNAcentral.